AACGAACGCUGGCGGCGUGGAUAAGACAUGCAAGUCGAACGGGAUUACUUUUGGUAGCAAUACCGAAAGUAAUUCAGUGGCGAACGGGUGCGUAACACGUGGGCAAUCUGCCGAAAAGUGGGGGAUAGCUCGCCGAAAGGCGAAUUAAUACCGCAUGUGGUGAGGGACGACAUCUUCCUGAAUCCAAAGCCGGGGCAACCUGGCGCUUUUUGAGGAGCCCGCGGCCUAUCAGCUAGUUGGCGGGGAACGGCCCACCAAGGCUAUGACGGGUAGCUGGUCUGAGAGGACGACCAGUCACACUGGAACUGAGACACGGUCCAGACACCUACGGGUGGCAGCAGUCGAGAAUUUUUCNCAAUGGGCGAAAGCCUGAAGGAGCGACGCCGNGUGGAGGAUGAAGCUUUCGGGUGUAAACUCCUGUCAUUUGAGAACAAGGUUGCGCGGUUAACUGCCGCGU
This 457-nucleotide ribosomal RNA is filed under the name uncultured bacterium. RNAcentral describes it as "bacterial SSU rRNA". It matches the Rfam family "Bacterial small subunit ribosomal RNA", at positions 29 to 468 of the family's 1533-position model. The record is from RNAcentral.